UGGCCUUGACAUAGACAGAAUUUAGUAGAGAUAUAAAAGUGCCAGUUUACUGGAGCUGUUAUACAGGUGCUGCACGGCUGUCGUCAGCUCGUGUCGUGAGAUGUUGGGUUAAGUCCCGCAACGAGCGCAACCCACGUCAUUAGUUACUAACGGUUUGGCCGAGGACUCUAAUGAGACUGCCUGGGUAACCAGGAGGAAGGUGUGGACGACGUCAAGUCAUCAUGGCCCUUACGGCGCAGGGCUACACACGUGCUACAAUGGGGUAUACAGAGAGCAGCGAUACCGCGAGGUGGAGCAAAUCUUUAAAAUAUCUCCCAGUUCGGAUAGCACUCUGCAACUCGAGUGCUUGAAGUUGGAAUCGCUAGUAAUCGUAGAUCAGCAAUGCUACGGUGAAUACGUUCCCGGGUCU
RNAcentral lists this ribosomal RNA (409 nucleotides) under uncultured bacterium. RNAcentral describes it as "bacterial SSU rRNA". It matches the Rfam family "Bacterial small subunit ribosomal RNA", at positions 976 to 1381 of the family's 1533-position model. The record is from RNAcentral.